Molecule: ribosomal RNA, 495 nt
Filed under: uncultured bacterium
Lineage: Bacteria
Description: partial 16S ribosomal RNA
Rfam family: Bacterial small subunit ribosomal RNA
Source: RNAcentral
GACGAACGCUGGCGGCGUGCCUAAUACAUGCAAGUAGAACGCUGAAGGAGGAGCUUGCUUCUCUGGAUGAGUUGCGAACGGGUGAGUAACGCGUAGGUAACCUGCCUGGUAGCGGGGGAUAACUAUUUGAAACGAUAGCUAAUACCGCAUAAUAGCAGUUAUUGCAUGAUAACUGUUUGAAAGGUGCAAUUGCACCACUACCAGAUGGACCUGCGUUGUAUUAGCUAGUUGGUGGGGUAACGGCUCACCAAGGCGACGAUACAUAGCCGACCUGAGAGGGUGAUCGGCCACACUGGGACUGAGACACGGCCCAGAAUCCUACGGGAGGCAGCAGUAGGGAAUCUUCGGCAAUGGACGGAAGUCUGACCGAGCAACGCCGCGUGAGUGAAGAAGGGUUUCGGAUCGUAAAGCUCUGUUGUAAGAGAAGAACGAGUGUGAGAGUGGAAAGUUCACACUGUGACGGUAUCUUACCAGAAAGGGACGGCUAACUACGUG